UAACGGCGUCGAGCGGCGGACGGGUGAGUAAUGCCUAGGAAAUUGCCCUGAUGUGGGGGAUAACCAUUGGAAACGAUGGCUAAUACCGCAUGAUGCCUACGGGCCAAAGAGGGGGACCUUCGGGCCUCUCGCGUCAGGAUAUGCCUAGGUGGGAUUAGCUAGUUGGUGAGGUAAGGGCUCACCAAGGCGACGAUCCCUAGCUGGUCUGAGAGGAUGAUCAGCCACACUGGAACUGAGACACGGUCCAGACUCCUACGGGAGGCAGCAGUGGGGAAUAUUGCACAAUGGGCGCAAGCCUGAUGCAGCCAUGCCGCGUGUGUGAAGAAGGCCUUCGGGUUGUAAAGUACUUUCAGUCGUGAGGAAGGCGGCGUCGUUAAUAGCGGCAUCGUUUGACGUUAGCGACAGAAGAAGCACCGGCUAACUCCGUGCCAGCAGCCGCGGUAAUACGGAGGGUGCGAGCGUUAAUCGGAAUUACUGGGCGUAAAGCGCAUGCAGGUGGUUUGUUAAGUCAGAUGUGAAAGCCCGGGGCUCAACCUCGGAAUAGCAUUUGAAACUGGCAGACUAGAGUACUGUAGAGGGGGGUAGAAUUUCAGGUGUAGCGGUGAAAUGCGUAGAGAUCUGAAGGAAUACCGGUGGCGAAGGCGGCCCCCUGGACAGAUACUGACACUCAGAUGCGAAAGCGUGGGGAGCAAACAGGAUUAGAUACCCUGGUAGUCCACGCCGUAAACGAUGUCUACUUGGAGGUUGUGGCCUUGAGCCGUGGCUUUCGGAGCUAACGCGUUAAGUAGACCGCCUGGGGAGUACGGUCGCAAGAUUAAAACUCAAAUGAAUUGACGGGGGCCCGCACAAGCGGUGGAGCAUGUGGUUUAAUUCGAUGCAACGCGAAGAACCUUACCUACUCUUGACAUCCAGAGAACUUUCCAGAGAUGGAUUGGUGCCUUCGGGAACUCUGAGACAGGUGCUGCAUGGCUGUCGUCAGCUCGUGUUGUGAAAUGUUGGGUUAAGUCCCGCAACGAGCGCAACCCUUAUCCUUGUUUGCCAGCGAGUAAUGUCGGGAACUCCAGGGAAACUGCCGGUGAUAAACCGGGAGGAAGGUGGGGGACAACGUCAAGUCAUCAUGGGCCCUUACAAGUAGGGGUUACCAC
Molecule: ribosomal RNA, 1145 nt
Filed under: Vibrio antiquarius
Lineage: Bacteria; Pseudomonadati; Pseudomonadota; Gammaproteobacteria; Vibrionales; Vibrionaceae
Description: bacterial SSU rRNA
Rfam family: Bacterial small subunit ribosomal RNA
Source: RNAcentral